Molecule: long non-coding RNA, 1200 nt
Organism: Vicia villosa (hairy vetch)
Lineage: Eukaryota; Viridiplantae; Streptophyta; Magnoliopsida; Fabales; Fabaceae
Exons: 3
Source: RefSeq, a predicted model, not a curated record
AACAGUUCACUUUUUCACUUUUCACACUUUCUUCUUCUUCCGUUUAUUUUGAACUCGAAUUUUUUAACGACGGAACCACCGUGCCGGUAUUCUACUUCCGCCGUCGUAUUCUUCUCCUUCAAAGGUUAGUCUCAUAUUCCUUUAUUAUGUUCAAUUCAUUCCUCAAACCUAUAAAUACCUAAUUUCUCCGUAUGUGUCUCAAAAUCAUUUAUGCGUGAUUUAUUUGAAAAAUCCCAAUCUUCUUCUGUAAUCCGAAAAAGAAAACCUCGACUCUGAUGGAUUGAUUAUCUCUUGUAAUUCAUUUCAAUUUUGAAUUUAUCUCAAUUCUUAUUGUGUAUGGUGUUUAAUUUCUGUUUUUUUUUUUUGUGCGGUUGGUGGAUUAUUGUGUGUCAUUGUUUGGACUGCUGAUCACCCUCCCCUGUGCUUGCCGCGAGCUUCACUACCUUAGGCAGCUUCUUCGCCGGUUCGAACUCGGGAGAGGGGUGGUAUCAAUCUUGCAGUUGUAGUUGUAAUGCGAAAUUGGGAAAUUUAAGGUAAGGAGACACUGGUCCUGGUCAUUGCAUUGUCAGGUACUUGAAUUUUUCAAGAAAACACUAAAGUUCAUUCUCCAUUUUAAGCUAUGAGUAAUCAUGGGAGAAACUCCACCAUAUAUACACUAUAGGUGUUGGUGCAGCAUGUCAAAGUAAAUUGGGUUCAAUCCUUAUUGAAUGAGAUGAUUAAGCUGAAACAGUCGAUCAAGAUUUCACUAGCUAAGAAUUCUAUUGCACAUAAGAAGAGCAAACACAUAUAGAGAGACAAGAUUUCACUUUCUACGGGAUCAAGUCACAAGGGCAAGCUGAAUGUUGUCUACUGUCCUACAGAAUAUGGCUGGUGUGUUUACUUAAGCAAUCAAAAAGUGAAAUUCAUGAAGUUGAGAAUGUGUUUACUUAAGCAAUCAAAAAAGUGCAGUUCAUGAAGUUGAAAAGGAAACUUUGAGUUAUGACUUUUGAUAGCUUGAAUUAAGCGGAAUGUUCAGAAUAAUUCAAGCCUUUAAUAGGUUAGAACUUUUUUAGUAGUUACUUAUGAAUAAAUAAAUUAGUUAGUUAGGUAGAGUUAGUUCCUAGUUUUAGAAAUUUCGUAAAAAUACAUUUACUUGGUGUGCAAGUAACAAGUGACUGAGGCUAUUUAUAAAUCUAUGCGCAUCAAUAAAAAGUACUUCUU